This 221-nucleotide ribosomal RNA is filed under the name uncultured bacterium. RNAcentral's name for it is "partial 16S ribosomal RNA". It matches the Rfam family "Bacterial small subunit ribosomal RNA", at positions 109 to 334 of the family's 1533-position model. The record is from RNAcentral.
AGUAAUGUAUGGGGAUCUGCCUGAUGGCGGGGAUAACUACUGGAAACGGUAGCUAAUAUCGCAUAAUGUCUGCGGACCAAAGCGGGGGACCUCCGGGCCUCGCGCCAUCAGAUGAACCCAUAUGGGAUUAGCUUGUAGGUAAGGUAACGGCUUACCUAGGCGACGAUCCCUAGCUGGUCUGAGAGGAUGAUCAGCCACACUGGGACUGAGACACGGCCCAG